GAUUUUUGGGGGAUUUUUUUGGGACUUUUUUGGGAUUUUUUGGGGGGAUUUGGGAUUUUUUGGGGAUUUUUUGGGGAUUUUUAGGGGAUUUUUUGCCAUUUUUGGGGAUUUUUUUUGGGAUUUGGAUUUUUGGGGAUUUUUGAGGAUUUUUGGGGGGAUUUGGGAUUUUUUGGGGGAUUUUUUUGGGAUUUUCAGGGGUUGUUUUUGGGCUUUGGGGCCCUUUUGGGAUUUCCCUUCCUGGCGCUGCUGGGAACCCUCCUGGGGAACCCCGGCCUCCGGCUCCACGUCCAGGAGGUGCCAAAUUCCCGGGAAAACCCCGGAAUUCCCAAAAAUCCGGGGAAAUUGGGAAAAUCUGGGAAUUCUGGGGGGGUUUUGUUGGGAUUUCGGGGUUUUAAAGUGGAUUUUAAGUGGAUUUUAAGGGAUUUUUAAGGAGGGAUUUGGGAUUUUUGGGAGGGAUUUUUUGGGAUUUGGGAUUUCUUUGGGAUUUUUUGGGUUUUUUGUUGGGAUUUGGGAUUUUUGGGAUUUUUUUUUAUUUUGGAGGGAUUUUUUGGGGAUUUUUUUGGGAUUUUUUGGCAUUUUGGGGGGAUUUUUAGGGGAUUUUUUGGCACUGUUGGGGGGUUUGGGAUUUUUUUGGGGUUUAGGAUUUUUGGGGGAUUUUUAGGGGAUUUUUUGGCAUUUUUGGGGGUUUUUUUGGGAUUUUUUUGCCAUUUUUGGGGAUUUUUUGGAUUUUUUGGGAGAUUUGGAUUUUUGGGGAUUUCUGGGGGGAUUUGGGAUUUUUGGGAUUUUUUUUGGAUUUUUGGGGGAUUUUUUUGGGACUUUUUUGGGAUUUUUUGGGGGGAUUUGGGAUUUUUUGGGGAUUUUUUGGGGAUUUUUAGGGGAUUUUUUGCCAUUUUUGGGGAUUUUUUUUGGGAUUUGGAUUUUUGGGGAUUUUUGAGGAUUUUUGGGGGGAUUUGGGAUUUUUUGGGGGAUUUUUUUGGGAUUUUCAGGGGUUGUUUUUGGGCUUUGGGGCCCUUUUGGGAUUUCCCUUCCUGGCGCUGCUGGGAACCCUCCUGGGGAACCCCGGCCUCCGGCUCCACGUCCAGGAGGUGAUCCAGGCCCGGCAGAAGGAGGCUCCGUUCCUGCUGCCCGAGGAGGCCUUCGGGGACAACCCCCGGUGAGAAUUCCCGGAAUUCCCGGAAUUUCCCCUUGGAAUUCCCAGAGAAUCCCCUGGAAAUCCAAAGGAAAACCCGGAUCAGGCUGGGAAUGGGAUGGGGUUGGGAAUCCGUGGAUCCCAUCCCGAGGAAUUCCGGGAUUCCGGGAGGCUCCGGAUCCAUCCCGGGGGAUUUUUAUGGAAUCUGGGAAAGGAAAUCCAGGGAUUUUCUGGGAUUUGGGGUUUUUUUUUUGGGAUAACCCAGAAAUUCCUUCCCAAAUCCCAAAUCCCUCCCCGUUUUCCCAGGGAAUUCCCUCCAUUCCC
Molecule: long non-coding RNA, 1453 nt
Filed under: Cyanistes caeruleus (blue tit)
Lineage: Eukaryota; Metazoa; Chordata; Aves; Passeriformes; Paridae
Description: lncRNA (ENSCCEG00000005570.1)
Source: RNAcentral